Molecule: ribosomal RNA, 92 nt
Filed under: uncultured bacterium
Lineage: Bacteria
Description: partial 16S ribosomal RNA
Source: RNAcentral
UGGGUCGUAAACUGCUUUAUACGGGAAGAAACCCUCUACGUGUAGAGGAUUGACGGUACUGUAAGAAUAAGGAUCGGCUAACUCCGUGCCAG